This 484-nucleotide ribosomal RNA is filed under the name uncultured bacterium. Its description in RNAcentral is "partial 16S ribosomal RNA". It matches the Rfam family "Bacterial small subunit ribosomal RNA", at positions 30 to 507 of the family's 1533-position model. The record is from RNAcentral.
AUUGAACGCUGGCGGCAUGCUUUAUACAUGCAAGUCGAACGGCAAGGCGGGGUUCGGCCUGCUGGCGAGUGGCGAACGGGUGGGUGAGACAUACGAAGGUGACCUGUAGUUGGGGAUAGCUCGGCGUAAGCCGGACGAAUAUCGCAUACGACCAGAGGGUGAAAGGGAGGGAUCGUCGGACUUCGCGCUAUUUGAGCGUCCGAUGGCAGAUUAGCUAGUUGGUGGGGUUAAGGCCUACCGAGGCGACGCUCUGUAGCUGGUCUGAGUGGACGACCAGCCACACUGGAACUGAGCCACGGUCCAGACUCCUACGGGAGGCCGCAGUGGGGAAUUUUGGACAAUGGGCGAAAGCCUGAUGCAGCAACGCCGCGUGAGUGAUGAAGGACUUCGGAUCGUAAAGCCCUUUUGGCGGGAACGAAAAUGUCUGUGCCCAUACAGCCGUUUAAUGACGGUACCCGCAGAAUAAGCACCGGCUAACUACGUG